CGUCAGAGUAAUCUCGGACUAAGAUAAUUAUAACAUAAGUCGCAAUGAAAUGAUAUAAAUUCAGAAAUUAUUGUGUUCAUUUAUUAUUGUGAUUUUUGAAGAAUGGACAUAAUGGUAAGACUGUUCAUUGAGAGAUCAUUAUAUUGUCUUCUAUUCUUUAAUUUCUUUUGACUCACUGCUAAUAAAUCUACCACAUUGUAUGAUUAACAAUGAUAAUAUCACUCAAUAUUUUCUGAAUUUACAGUACCCUGAUUUCAAAGUGAAUUGAAAGCCAUUGAUUUAACUGUUAAAUGAAUCAGAUAUCUUCACUCCUCUAACGUCAUACAAAAACAGGUGUUGUCAAGAUGUUGUCAAUUACGUUGCAUCAAACAAUGGAAAUAGAUAUAACUAGAUCCUUAUAUAUUUUCUACUUUGUUUCUAUUAAAAAGUUCUAUGGGCAUGAGGGUCAAUGAAAUAAAGAAAUAGCAAAUCCAUGAAUGAAAAAAUAUUACACUGAUAAUUAUUUCAAGCACUAAGAUGAAUCAUGUAUUUGUGAACUAAUGUGCUGUUUAGUUACUCUUAUAUUUUUGUAAUUAGUCGAAAGAAAUUCAAGAUUAGAAGAAAAAUAGCUUUUAAAUAUUUAUGUCAAAGGGAUAUAACUCUUUCUCUGUACAAGAAACAAAAUGCUUAUGAAAUGUAAAUGACUUAUAAUAAUAUGAUUUCUUCAUCUGAUAAUUUUGAAUUUCUCUGUGAAAUCCUGACCAUUUUAACAGAACACAAAAAAAUACUGUUUCUGUACAUAGUGCCAAAGAUUUGAGACUUGUAUUUUUUCCUAUUGAAAAUUUUUAUAUGUUAGAAUUUGCUACACUAUAUAGCUAGUUUUGUAUAUAUGCAUGUUUGUUUUUGUAUGAACAAGAUGGUUGUUAUUUUUUUUAACUUUCAGGUUUCUUAUUUCAGAGUUACAGGAAUUUUGCUGUAAAACUUAUAUAAGUGUUGGAAUUGUUGAACAUAACCAGGGGUCGAAAUUGGCGCUGGUCCGGUAGUCCGAGGCCAGUAGAAUUUGUGUCGGACCAGUAGAUUUUAUCAGCUAGUGGACCAGUAGAAAUUUUUCGUUAAAAUCAAUGAUUGCAUCUCUUUCUCUGUUUGUUUACAAAAAAAUAAACAUGAGAAAUUAUUUUUAGGGUAUUGGGGGCGCUAUUUUUGGAAUAAAGAAGAGGAAAGCAGCUGUGGAAAAUAAAACUAAACAUCUGUCAUAUGUUUUAGUGGUUAUCAAAUGAAUGUCAUUUUUGCAGGACCAGUAAAUUUUGAGCCGGACCAGUAGAUCUAUAGUCCACUGGUCCGGCUGGCCAGUACACUAAAAAGCUUAAAUUCGACCCCUGAACAUAACACACUUUUUUUUUUUUAAUUUUCAUAUGUGAGUCUAGAGUUAAAGGGUGUUUUGAUAGAUAUGAUUAAUUUUUUUAAUGUCCUGCACUAGCUCUAUUAUGCUACAUAUCUAAAAGAGUUGAUACAUUUAUUUUCCGUGGGUACCAAUUGUCAUGGAUUGAAGAAAACUGGAACUUUCCUGGAUAUUUGAAUUUGUGUCUGCAGUUAUUCAUAAAGCAAAUUUGAAGUUCAUUGACUAUUUCAAUUCAUUGUUUCCCUGUACCCUCAAAAUCCAAGAAAUUUGGUAUCCAAUGAAUAAUAAUGAAUUCACAGUACUGCUUUUUAACAGUCAAACUUUUAACAGUCAAAUUUGAUGUAAAAUUUAUAAUUUAAUGAUUUUUUAAUCUAAAUAGCAGUUGUAUUUGCCCUUGAUUAACUGAUUUCCAUAUUUAUAAAUCAUUUUAUUUUUGAGCCUUCGACUUUUGUUGAAAAAUCGAGACAUAGCGAUCCUACAUUCUGGCUGCCCCGAUGGCGGUGUCUACAAAUAUUCACUCUAUGGUUAAAGUUUUUGAAAUUUUAAUAACUUUCUUAAACUAACCUGGAUUUAUUCCAAACUUGGACAGAAGCUUGUUUAUGAUCAUAAGUUUAACAUUACAUGCAGCCUGCAGUUUAAGUUUUUAAAAUAUUUAUUAGAUUCAUAAAUUAUCCUGGAUUUUUUACUAAAGUUGGACAGAAGCUUCUUACAAUCAAAAGAUAGUUUCGAGAGGAACAUUUUUUUUUUUUUUUUUCCUCAUUUUUGUUGAGCCUGUGAUUAACAGUAAAAGUAGGGAGACACUGGGUUCUGCAGAACCCUAACAAAUUUUUUCUGUAACAAGUUUAAUAUAGCAAUGACUGCAUCUAUGUGCUCUUGGCACAACUGCCUUUUUAUGCCCUUCUUAUAAUGCCGCACUUAGAUUUUUUAGUCUGAGCAUUUGUUUGUGACUCAGUUCUAUCGACUUUUCCUCUUUAGGUUAAAGUUUAUGACGAAACGCACGUCUGGCGUAUAAAAUUAUUCUUGGUACUUUUGAUAACUAUUUAUGAAUAAAGUUUUUGGCCAAGGUAGUUUUUUUUUAUGAAGUUGAAGUCUAAUCAACUAUUUAGUACUUGUGUUUCCUAUGAUAUGAUCUUUCUAAUUUUAAUUCCAAAUUAAAAGUUUUGAUCCCAAUUACAUGGUCCACUGAACAUAGAAAAUUAGUGUGGAGGAGGCGUCUGUGUUCUACAGACAUAUCCUUGUUUUUUAUUGUAGCAAAAUGUCUUUGUAAUAUAUUGUAAAAAAUGUGAAAAGUUGAAUGUUGAAAAAGAUACUGAGUAGUGUUUUUUUAAAACAAAUUGUGCAAUAUUUAGAUGUUUCUUUUAUACAUUAAGUGUUUGAUGUUAUAUCCAUCAAGUACAAGCUUUCAAGAAAAGCUGAUUAGACAUUGACAUUUCUCUUCAUUUAUCAACUAUUAUCCAUAUAUAUAUAAAUAUAAAUGUAUAUAUGGGGAAUCAUAUCCAAUUUUUAAAUUCAUCUUUUUCAUAGAACUGUAGUUAUUUACAUAAGGUAGCUUAGUGCUGAAAUUAGUCAUAGUGGUAUACAAAUAAAGUUAGAA
RNAcentral lists this long non-coding RNA (2972 nucleotides) under Mytilus galloprovincialis (Mediterranean mussel). The record is from RNAcentral. Lineage: Eukaryota; Metazoa; Mollusca; Bivalvia; Mytilida; Mytilidae.